CGUAGGGUAGCUAAGCGUUGUCCGGAAUUAUUGGGCGUAAAGAGCUCGUAGGCGGUUUGUCGCGUCUGCUGUGAAAACUCGGGGCUUAACUCCGGGCCUGCAGUGGGUACGGGCAGACUAGAGUGCGUAGGGGAGACUGGAAUUCCUGGUGUAGCGGUGAAAUGCGCAGAUAUCAGGAGGAACACCGGUGGCGAAGGCGGGUCUCUGGGCCGUAACUGACGCUGAGGAGCGAAAGCGUGGGGAGCGAACAGGAUUAGAUACCCUGGUAGUCCACGCCGUAAACGUUGGGCGCUAGGUGUGGGGCUCUUUCCACGAGUUCCGUGCCGCAGCUAACGCAUUAAGCGCCCCGCCUGGGGAGUACGGCCGCAAGGCUA
This 374-nucleotide ribosomal RNA is filed under the name uncultured organism. RNAcentral describes it as "bacterial SSU rRNA". It matches the Rfam family "Bacterial small subunit ribosomal RNA", at positions 526 to 896 of the family's 1533-position model. The record is from RNAcentral.